This 1472-nucleotide long non-coding RNA is filed under the name Nicotiana tabacum (common tobacco). RNAcentral describes it as "long non-coding RNA (NTAB_LNC010338)". The record is from RNAcentral. Lineage: Eukaryota; Viridiplantae; Streptophyta; Magnoliopsida; Solanales; Solanaceae.
AAGUGCGGNAAAGAAAAGCCCGACAUCGGGGUGUCACUAGUCAUGCACAUCUACUACAAUUUAUCUGACAAUAUCGAGACUAACAUAGUCUGAAAAAUAGCUAAAUACAACUAAAGAAAGAUAAGAGGGAGAAGAUCAGAGUUGCGAUCGCCAAGCAACUAUCUUGUUAUCCCCGAGAAAAUCUGCAACCGGGAUAGUCAACGACUGCUACCAUGUCCAGAUACGACUGCAUCUACACACAAGGUGCAGGGAGUAACAUGAGUACGCCAACUCAGUAAGUAACAACAGUAAAUAAAGACUGAAAAGUAGUGACGAGCAAUAAUGUAAGUAAAGUUCAUAUCACAAAAAUUCAGUAAAAUACAGUAUGCUUUUAAACCAGAGUUUGAAUCAAAUUAGCUCUUUUAAAUCCAGUUUCAGUAAAAUCAUUUAAAGACAUCUUUCAGCAGUUUUCAAACAAAGGCUCAAUGCAAAGAUGAGAAAAAAUAAUAAAAUCAUAAUCAGCCACUCGGGCAACAUCACUCAUAUACAGCCCCUCGAGAAAACCUCACAAUCACUCAUAUACAGCCCCUCGGGCAGACCUCACCAUCACUCAUGCCUCCCAGUCACUCAACACUCGGCACUCACACUCAGUAGGUACCUGCGCUCAGUAGGGGUGUAUACAGACUCCGGAGGGGCUCCUUCAGCCCAAGCGCUAUAUCAAGCCAAUCAUGACAUAAAUCAAUGAGGCCCUCGGACUAUAUCAAACAUGAUGCGGCGUGCAGCCCAAUCCCAUAAGUAUCUUCACAAAUCAGUCCCUCGGCCUCACUCAGUCAUAUACCUCUCCAGCCUCUACGGCUCUCAGAAAAUAAAGUAUUCAGCCCAAACAAUAUUUAUAUGAUGCAUCAAAAUAGAGUAAUAGAGACUGAGUUAUGCUGUUAAUAUGUACAAACAUGAUUGAGUAUAGAUUUUCAAUCAAAAAUAAAGAGAGGAUAGCAAGAAAAGAACUCGAACGGUCCAAACAACACUGGCAUAAGGCAUAAACAUGGCAUCCAACCCGAGUUACAUAAAUUCUUUCUAAAACACAUAAGAAUCAUAUAGUUUCAAAAAAAUAUUCAACUUUACAGUUGAUAUGGGAUGAACCAAGUCAUAAUCUCCAAUGGUGCACGCCCACACGCGCUUCACCUAGCAUGUGCGCCACCUCCAAAUGGUAAAAUAAUACAAAAUUCCGGGGUUGCAUACCCUCAGGACCAGAUUUACAAUCGCAACUUACCUGAAACCGAUCAAAUCCCUACUCGGCGAUGCUCUUUCCCCUCGAUUCGGCCUCCAAAUUCUCUGAAUCUAUUCACAAUCAGUACAAUACCAUCAAUUUAUGCUAAAGGAAUGAAUUCCACAAGCAAAAUUACCAAUUUAGACCAAAAACCCGAAAUUGGCUCAAACCCGCCCUCUGGGCCAACGUCUCAAAAUCCGAAAAAAAUACAAAACUUGAAAGUCCA